This 1641-nucleotide long non-coding RNA is filed under the name Mytilus galloprovincialis (Mediterranean mussel). Lineage: Eukaryota; Metazoa; Mollusca; Bivalvia; Mytilida; Mytilidae. The record is from RNAcentral.
UUCAAGUAACGCCAUGUUCAAGAUCCCCAUGUGAAUACGGUGGGAAUUGUUCGGUAACAGACAAUAGUUUUUCCUGUACCUGUUUAAACGGAUUCACAGGAUUACAAUGCCAAAGUGAGUAAUAUGAUAUUCACAUUUAACGUGCUUAGUUAUAGGCAUUAUAACCGUUAAAUAAAUCGUUAUUCUUAAUAGAGAUGCGGUAUAUAAAGUUGAGAAUGGAAAUGGGGAACAUGUCAAAGUAACAAUAACCCGACCAAAGAGCAGAUAACAGCCGAAUUAGACAGCAAUCAAACGACGAAACUACUAAACGGUAUCUAUAGGGCAACAUUAAGUUUUCAACUAUUAAAGACAGUUUGCAAUAUGUCCAUCCUAAUGGUUGACUGGGGGGGGUUUAGAAAAUCCGUCGUCCCUAGAGUUAUCUUAUCCAAAAGUUAAAGACAUUCUAAGGUUGGGGUUUUGAUUCCCUGUGUCGAAAGUAUAAAUACGAACCCGUUUCAAGACUAGAAUUCGGAAUAAUUGUGUCCGGGUAGGGUGACAUGUCUUCGAUGACAAUGGUAUAACUUGUGAAGGUUAUUUAUUUCCAAUCUUCUUUUCAUGAGUAUGCAAGCAUAAAAUAAACACUUUAAAUGAGUUUUUGUGACAACACACCCAGGUAUAUGUACAUAUGGAUUUCGUACUUCAAAGAAUAGAGCGAAUGACUGCAAAAAUUACGACAUAUUCGUCUAUUAGACUUCAACCUUACAACACACAAAGAAAGAAAAAUAAAUGUCUAAAAGGCAAUAUACGAUCGUCAAAUAACUUUACUUUCUUCCAUUUUUUUAACCUAACACUUGAUUUUAAUAUCAGGUACUCCAUGCGAUAACUAUAGCUGUGACAAUGGUGGGACGUGCUUUCUUGAUGAAUUUCAGCCAAAAUGUGCGUGCAAAAGAGGAUUCACUGGUGAAAAUUGUGCAUGUAAGCUUAUGAAAUAUAGCAAUCUAUUUUUCUUUUUUUUAUAGAUUCCAUCAAACACCAAAAUUAUAUAUUCAUAUAUGCAUGCCUUUCCUUUAUAUUCAUCAGCUGACUACAGAACCUUCCAAUUUUAUUAGUUGUUCAUUUUAUAAAUUUAUGGUUCUAAAUAAGCUAACAAUAUAUACCACAUGUCUAUAACACGUCACAAUAAAAUACAUGUAUCCUAGUCAUCGUACUCUACAUUUUACCCCCUUUCCAUUAUUUGCGUCCCCGCAAAUACUUUAAACUUUUGAAAAAGUUUCCAUUUAAAAUUUUCUAUGUCUUAAAUACAUAUUCUUCGUAAAAAGAAAUUAUUUCUAAAACUGAAUGAAAUAAGCUUUCUUAUUAUAAAUACAAUCUAUGAUUAUAACACAAAUACAUCAUAAUAUAUUACCAGAUUAUGUAAAAAUUGUACAUAAAUAUAAUGUAUAUAUGUAUUUUUUAUAGAUAGAUGUGAAGUUUCAUCAGCAUGACCAGAAGCACGAGGGCAGUAGAUACCAAACAGACAUAUAUAUGUACCAAAUGUGGAAAAUUACUGAACGUUGUGAACAAACUGGAACAUGGCUUAGAACCAGAGGUUUUCUGAAGGAAAAUUUUAGUUACCAUGCUAACAGUACCAAAAUAUUUAAAUAUAAUUGUUUAAAAAUGCAC